This 473-nucleotide ribosomal RNA is filed under the name uncultured bacterium. RNAcentral's name for it is "bacterial SSU rRNA". It matches the Rfam family "Bacterial small subunit ribosomal RNA", at positions 355 to 825 of the family's 1533-position model. The record is from RNAcentral.
UGGGGAAUAUUGGACAAUGGGGGCAACCCUGAUCCAGCCAUGCCGCGUGUGUGAAGAAGGCCUUUUGGUUGUAAAGCACUUUAAGCGAGGAGGAGGCUACCUGUAUUAAUACUAUAGGCUAGUGGACGUUACUCGCAGAAUAAGCACCGGCUAACUCUGUGCCAGCAGCCGCGGUAAUACAGAGGGUGCGAGCGUUAAUCGGAAUUACUGGGCGUAAAGCGCGCGUAGGCGGUUUGUUAAGUCGGAUGUGAAAUCCCCGGGCUCAACCUGGGAAUUGCAUUCGAUACUGGCAAGCUAGAGUAUGGGAGAGGAAGGUAGAAUUCCAGGUGUAGCGGUGAAAUGCGUAGAUAUCAAGAGGAACACCUGAGGUGAAGACGGGUUGCUGGGCUGAUACUGACGCUGAGGCGCGAAAGCUAGGGUAGCAAACGGGAUUAGAUACCCAAGUAGUCCCUGAGCGGGCUGGCAAGGCGCAU